This 502-nucleotide ribosomal RNA is filed under the name uncultured bacterium. Its description in RNAcentral is "bacterial SSU rRNA". It matches the Rfam family "Bacterial small subunit ribosomal RNA", at positions 29 to 519 of the family's 1533-position model. The record is from RNAcentral.
AACGAACGCUGGCGGCAGGCCUAACACAUGCAAGUCGAACGCCCCUCCUUCAAGCGAGCUUGAAGGAAUCUUUUGGAUUUCAAGAGAGCCAACGAGCUCUCUUGAUGGAGGGGAGUGGCAGACGGGUGAGUAACGCGUGGGAACGUGCCCUUCGGUUCGGAAUAACUCAGGGAAACUUGAGCUAAUACCGGAUACGUCCGUAAGGAGAAAGAUUUAUCGCCGAAGGAUCGGCCCGCGUCGGAUUAGCUAGUUGGUGAGGUAACGGCCCACCAAGGCGACGAUCCGUAGCUGGUCUGAGAGGAUGAUCAGCCACACUGGGACUGAGACACGGCCCAGACUCCUACGGGAGGCAGCAGUGGGGAAUAUUGGACAAUGGGCGAAAGCCUGAUCCAGCCAUGCCGCGUGAGUGAAGAAGGCCUUAGGGUUGUAAAGCUCUUUCAGCGGGGAAGAUAAUGACGGUACCCGCAGAAGAAGCCCGGCUAACUUCGUGCCAGCAGCCGCA